RNAcentral lists this transfer RNA (65 nucleotides) under bovine gut metagenome. It matches the Rfam family "tRNA", at positions 5 to 66 of the family's 71-position model. Rfam says of the family: Transfer RNA (tRNA) molecules are approximately 80 nucleotides in length. Their secondary structure includes four short double-helical elements and three loops (D, anti-codon, and T loops). The record is from RNAcentral. RNAcentral also lists the same sequence under 2 other names.
CCAUAGCUCAGUUGGUUAGAGCAUCUGACUCAUAAUCAGAGGGUCCUAGGUUCGAGCCCUAGUGG